This 200-nucleotide ribosomal RNA is filed under the name uncultured bacterium. Its description in RNAcentral is "partial 16S ribosomal RNA". It matches the Rfam family "Bacterial small subunit ribosomal RNA", at positions 8 to 221 of the family's 1533-position model. The record is from RNAcentral.
AGAGUUUGAUCAUGGCUCAGGACGAACGCUGGCGGCGUGCUUAACACAUGCAAGUCGAACGAGGUGCUUGCACCUAGUGGCGAACGGGUGAGUAACACGUGAGCAACCUGCCCCUGGCUCUGGGAUAGCCUCCGGAAACGGGGAUUAAUACCGGACAUGACUCCGGCCGGCAUCGGCUGGGGUGGAAAGUUUUUCGGCCA